RNAcentral lists this long non-coding RNA (397 nucleotides) under Brassica napus (rape). Its description in RNAcentral is "long non-coding RNA (BNAP_LNC016744)". The record is from RNAcentral. Lineage: Eukaryota; Viridiplantae; Streptophyta; Magnoliopsida; Brassicales; Brassicaceae.
UUCAUCUUUUUUGCUUGUGUGUUUGCUCUGGUGUGUGGAGGUGGUUUCGGGGGUGCAAAACGAUUUAUAUAGGUAUCUAUAAACCUAGUUGGGGAGGGAAUAUUCUCCUGCUCCUGAAUUUUUGCUGCGGCGCGAAUAUCGAUCGAUGUUCCUGUGUGAGUGUCGAUCGAUGUGAGCGGUUGUUUUGCUGGACGAGGGUGGGUAUCGACCGAUGUGGAGUGUACAUCGUCGAACGAUGUUGGAAUCGUGUUGGUGAACUCAUGUGUUUCGAAUCUUUCAUCCUGCAAAGACAUUUCUAUUGCACGUUCUUUCCAAUAAUCCUCAUCGUAUUUCUUUGUAUGUUCCUCAUUAGGUGAAGUAAUUAUAGUGUCAACUGCAAAACUUUCAUGGAAACCAC